This 72-nucleotide transfer RNA is filed under the name uncultured Synechococcus sp. RNAcentral's name for it is "tRNA-Ala". It matches the Rfam family "tRNA". From Rfam's summary of the family: Transfer RNA (tRNA) molecules are approximately 80 nucleotides in length. Their secondary structure includes four short double-helical elements and three loops (D, anti-codon, and T loops). Further hydrogen bonds mediate the characteristic L-shaped molecular structure. tRNAs have two regions of fundamental functional importance: the anti-codon, which is responsible for specific mRNA codon recognition, and the 3' end, to which the tRNAs corresponding amino acid is attached (by aminoacyl-tRNA synthetases). tRNAs cope with the degeneracy of the genetic code in two manners: having more than one tRNA (with a specific anti-codon) for a particular amino acid; and 'wobble' base-pairing, i.e. permitting non-standard base-pairing at the 3rd anti-codon position. The record is from RNAcentral. Lineage: Bacteria; Bacillati; Cyanobacteriota; Cyanophyceae; Synechococcales; Synechococcaceae.
GGGGGUUUAGCUCAUUUGGUAAAGCGCCGGCUUUGCAAGCAGGAUGUCAGGAGUUCAAGUCUCCUAACCUCC